UAGGGAAUCUUCGGCAAUGGACGAAAGUCUGACCGAGCAACGCCGCGUGAGUGAAGAAGGUUUUCGGAUCGUAAAACUCUGUUGUUAGAGAAGAACAAGGACGUUAGUAACUGAACGUCCCCUGACGGUAUCUAACCAGAAAGCCACGGCUAACUACGUGCCAGCAGCCGCGGUAAUACGUAGGUGGCAAGCGUUGUCCGGAUUUAUUGGGCGUAAAGCGAGCGCAGGCGGUUUCUUAAGUCUGAUGUGAAAGCCCCCGGCUCAACCGGGGAGGGUCAUUGGAAACUGGGAGGCUUGAGUGCAGAAGAGGAGAGUGGAAUUCCAGGUGUAGCGGUGAAAUGCGUAGAUAUAUGGAGGAACACCAGUGGCGAAGGCGGCUCGCUGGUCUGUAACUGACGCUGAGGCUCGAAAGCGUGGGGAGCAAACAGG
RNAcentral lists this ribosomal RNA (429 nucleotides) under Gemmatimonadota bacterium. RNAcentral's name for it is "Gemmatimonadetes bacterium partial 16S ribosomal RNA". It matches the Rfam family "Bacterial small subunit ribosomal RNA", at positions 355 to 776 of the family's 1533-position model. The record is from RNAcentral. Lineage: Bacteria; Pseudomonadati; Gemmatimonadota.